ACUGAGAGGCGGACGGGUGAGUAACGCGUGGGUAACCUGCCUCAUACAGGGGGAUAACAGUUAGAAAUGACUGCUAAUACCGCAUAAGCGCACAGUGCUGCAUGGCACAGUGUGAAAAACUCCGGUGGUAUGAGAUGGACCCGCGUCUGAUUAGCUAGUUGGUGGGGGAAUGGCCUACCAAGGCGACGAUCAGUAGCCGGCCUGAGAGGGUGAACGGCCACAUUGGGACUGAGACACGGUCCAGACUCC
Molecule: ribosomal RNA, 249 nt
Filed under: uncultured Eubacteriales bacterium
Lineage: Bacteria; Bacillati; Bacillota; Clostridia; Eubacteriales
Description: uncultured Clostridiales bacterium partial 16S ribosomal RNA
Rfam family: Bacterial small subunit ribosomal RNA
Source: RNAcentral